AUUGAACGCUGGCGGCAUGCCUUACACAUGCAAGUCGAACGGCAGCACGGGAGCAAUCCUGGUGGCGAGUGGCGAACGGGUGAGUAAUAUAUCGGAACGUGCCCAGUCGUGGGGAUAACGUAGCGAAAGCUACGCUAAUACCGCAUACGAUCUAUGGAUGAAAGCGGGGGAUCGCAAGACCUCGCGCGAUUGGAGCGGCCGAUAUCAGAUUAGGUAGUUGGUGAGGUAAAGGCUCACCAAGCCGACGAUCUGUAGCUGGUCUGAGAGGACGACCAGCCACACUGGGACUGAGACACGGCCCAGACUCCUACGGGAGGCAGCAGUGGGGAAUUUUGGACAAUGGGCGCAAGCCUGAUCCAGCAAUGCCGCGUGCAGGAUGAAGGCCUUCGGUUGUAACUGCUUUGUUACGGAACGAAACGGUAGGAGCGUCUAAUACAGUUUGCUAAUGACGGUA
Molecule: ribosomal RNA, 454 nt
Filed under: uncultured bacterium
Lineage: Bacteria
Description: bacterial SSU rRNA
Rfam family: Bacterial small subunit ribosomal RNA
Source: RNAcentral